This 626-nucleotide ribosomal RNA is filed under the name uncultured bacterium. Its description in RNAcentral is "bacterial SSU rRNA". The stretch from base 1 to 534 matches the Rfam family "Bacterial small subunit ribosomal RNA", at positions 338 to 873 of the family's 1533-position model. The record is from RNAcentral.
CCUACGGGAGGCAGCAGUGGGGAAUAUUGCACAAUGGGCGCAAGCCUGAUGCAGCAACGCCGCGUGAGGGACGACGGCCUUCGGGUUGUAAACCUCUUUUAGUAGGGAAGAAGCGAAAGUGACGGUACCUGCAGAAAAAGCACCGGCUAACUACGUGCCAGCAGCCGCGGUAAUACGUAGGGUGCAAGCGUUGUCCGGAAUUAUUGGGCGUAAAGAGCUCGUAGGCGGUUUGUCGCGUCUGCUGUGAAAACCCCGAGGCUCAACCUCGGGCCUGCAGUGGGUACGGGCAGACUAGAGUGCGGUAGGGGAGAUUGGAAUUCCUGGUGUAGCGGUGGAAUGCGCAGAUAUCAGGAGGAACACCGAUGGCGAAGGCAGAUCUCUGGGCCGUAACUGACGCUGAGGAGCGAAAGCAUGGGGAGCGAACAGGAUUAGAUACCCUGGUAGUCCAUGCGUAACGUUAGGUAACGUAGAUAGUAGGACGACUACCUACGGUUACGUUGUGUCGUCGAGCUAACGACAUUAACGUUACCCGUCCGUCGGGUAGGUACGGCCGCGACGGACGUAAACCUACAAACGAAGUUAGACGGCGUGAGACGUGCCGACGGACGACCGACGAGGGAGGUAGG